RNAcentral lists this ribosomal RNA (465 nucleotides) under Vreelandella stevensii. Its description in RNAcentral is "partial 16S ribosomal RNA". It matches the Rfam family "Bacterial small subunit ribosomal RNA", at positions 338 to 795 of the family's 1533-position model. The record is from RNAcentral. Lineage: Bacteria; Pseudomonadati; Pseudomonadota; Gammaproteobacteria; Oceanospirillales; Halomonadaceae.
CCUACGGGAGGCAGCAGUGGGGAAUAUUGGACAAUGGGGGCAACCCUGAUCCAGCCAUGCCGCGUGUGUGAAGAAGGCCCUCGGUUUGUAAAGCACUUUCAGUGAGGAAGAACGCCUGGUGGUUAAUACCCAUCAGGAAAGACAUCACUCACAGAAGAAGCACCGGCUAACUCCGUGCCAGCAGCCGCGGUAAUACGGAGGGUGCGAGCGUUAAUCGGAAUUACUGGGCGUAAAGCGCGCGUAGGUGGCUUGAUAAGCCGGUUGUGAAAGCCCCGGGCUCAACCUGGGAACGGCAUCCGGAACUGUCAAGCUAGAGUGCAGGAGAGGAAGGUAGAAUUCCCGGUGUAGCGGUGAAAUGCGUAGAGAUCGGGAGGAAUACCAGUGGCGAAGGCGGCCUUCUGGACUGACACUGACACUGAGGUGCGAAAGCGUGGGUAGCAAACAGGAUUAGAUACCCUAGUAGUC